RNAcentral lists this non-coding RNA (89 nucleotides) under unclassified sequences. RNAcentral describes it as "freshwater-2 RNA". It matches the Rfam family "freshwater-2 RNA". Rfam says of the family: Aquatic, esp. fresh water. No recognized genes The record is from RNAcentral.
UUUGACACAAAGUCAAAGACUUAUGCGGAAUAACCACCGCGUAGCCAGGAGAACUGGCAUUGGACUCCUAAAAAAGGAGAAAACAAAUG